UAAGGAUAAUAAAAACAUAAGCGGAAUUAGAGCUACCUUAUCUUUUGCCAAAGCUGUUACAAAAUAUGCAGCAAACUAUUGUUACGAGGCUGUGAAGAAGCAUGUGAAGAAGCAUAAACACUCAUGGUUACCGAAGUCCAAAGGUGAGAACACUCACACAUUGUCAGACAACUUGGGUGAAGCUUCUGGAUCAUCUGGGACAUGGUUUUUACCUCUUUCAAGUGAAGAGCGCUUACAGAUAGAAUCUAUUAAUGACGAUGCUGAAUAUAUUUCUAGCA
This 278-nucleotide small RNA is filed under the name Vigna angularis var. angularis. Its description in RNAcentral is "Non-protein coding transcript". The record is from RNAcentral. Lineage: Eukaryota; Viridiplantae; Streptophyta; Magnoliopsida; Fabales; Fabaceae.